GCUCAGAACGAACGCUGGCGGCGUGCCUAACACAUGCAAGUCGAGCGCGAAAGCUCCUUCGGGAGCCUUAAAGCGGCAGACGGGUGAGUAACACGUGGGCAACCUGUCCCUGAGUGGGGGAUAACUACUCGAAAGGGUGGCUAAUACCGCAUAAGACCACGGCCUUGCGGGGCUGAGGUCAAAGGCGCAAGCCGCUUGGGGAGGGGCCCGCGGCCGAUUAGCUAGUUGGUAGGGUAACGGCCUACCAAGGCGAUGAUCGGUAGCUGGUCUGAGAGGAUGAUCAGCCACACUGGUACUGAGACACGGACCAGACUCCUACGGGAGGCAGCAGUGGGGAAUAUUGCGCAAUGGGCGAAAGCCUGACGCAGCAACGCCGCGUGGGUGAUGAAGGCCUUCGGGUCGUAAAGCCCUGUCAGAUGGGACGAAGCAAGUGACGGUACCAUCGAAGGAAGCACCGGCUAACUCCGUGCCAGCAGCCGCGGUAAUACGGAGGGUGCAAGCGUUGUUCGGAAUCACUGGGCGUAAAGGGCGCGUAGGCGGUCCCACAAGUCCGAUGUGAAAGCCCGGGGCUCAACUCCGGAAGUGCAUUGGAAACUGUGGGACUUGAGUUCGGGAGAGGAAGGCAGAAUUCCCGGUGUAGGGUUGAAAUCCGUAGAUAUCGGGAGGAAAACCGGUGGCGAAGGCGGCCUUCUGGAACGAAACUGACGCUGAGGCGCGAAAGCGUGGGGAGCAAACAGGAUUAGAGACCCUGGUAGUCCACGCUGUAAACGAUGGAUGCUGGGUGUGGGAUUCAAUACGGAAUUCCGUGCCGAAGCUAACGCAUUAAGCAUCCCGCCUGGGGAGUACGGUCGCAAGACUAAAACUCAAAU
Molecule: ribosomal RNA, 869 nt
Filed under: uncultured bacterium
Lineage: Bacteria
Description: bacterial SSU rRNA
Rfam family: Bacterial small subunit ribosomal RNA
Source: RNAcentral